AUACUCUGGUUUCUCCUCAGACUGCAUAAAUCUUUCACCUUUU
This 43-nucleotide small nuclear RNA is filed under the name Cervus elaphus hippelaphus. The record is from RNAcentral. Lineage: Eukaryota; Metazoa; Chordata; Mammalia; Artiodactyla; Cervidae.